AGGACGAACGCUGGCGGCGUGCCUAAUGCAUGCAAGUCGCACGCAGGGUGCUUGCACUCUGAGUGGCGCACGGCUGAGAAUCACGUGGGAACAUGCCUCCUUGUGGGGGACAACAGCGCGAAAGCGCUGCUAAUCCCGCAUACGCUCGGCAACGAGGAAAGCGGCAACGCGCAGGGAGAGUGGCCCGCGGCCCAUCAGGUCGUAGGUGGGGUAAUGGCCUACCUAGCCGGUGACGGGUAGCUGGUCUGUGAGGACAGACAGCCAGACUGGGACUGAGACACGGCCCAGACUCCUACGGGAGGCAGCAGCAAGGAAUUUUCGCAAUGGGCGCAAGCCUGAACGAGCAACGCCGCGUGGAGGAUGACGGCCUUCGGGUUGUAAACUCCUUUUUCGGGGACGAUAAUGACGGUACCCCGGGAAUAAGGCUCGGCUAACUCUGUGCCAGCAGCCGC
RNAcentral lists this ribosomal RNA (452 nucleotides) under uncultured bacterium. RNAcentral's name for it is "SSU rRNA". It matches the Rfam family "Bacterial small subunit ribosomal RNA", at positions 26 to 518 of the family's 1533-position model. The record is from RNAcentral.